GACGAACGCUGGCGGCGUGGAUUAGGCAUGCAAGUCGAACGGUAUCAUCCUUUCGGGGGUGAGAGAGUGGCGAACUGGUGAGUAACACGUAGGUUAUCUACCCUCAAGACGGGGACAACCCAGGGAAACUUGGGCUAAUACCGGAUGUGAGCAACUUUUAGUUGUUUGAAAGGUGGCGUAAGCUGUCGCUUGGGGAUGAGCCUGCGUCCUAUUAGUUAGUUGGUGAGGUAACGGCUCACCUAGGCAAUGAUAGGUAGGCGGCCUUAACGGGUGGUCGCCCACACUGGGAUUGAGAUACGGCCCAGACUCCUACGGGAGGCAGCAGUCGAGAAUAGUCUACAAUGGUCGGAAGACUGAUAGUGCGACGCCGCGUGAACGAUGAAUCCCUUCGGGGUGUAAAGUUCUUUUAUAUGUGAGCAGUGCUUCUUAUAUUAACAGUAUGGGGAGAGAGAUAUUAGCAUAUGAAUAAGCAACGGCUAACUCCGUGCCCAGCAGCCGACGGU
This 503-nucleotide ribosomal RNA is filed under the name uncultured bacterium. Its description in RNAcentral is "bacterial SSU rRNA". It matches the Rfam family "Bacterial small subunit ribosomal RNA", at positions 28 to 521 of the family's 1533-position model. The record is from RNAcentral.